GGGAAAGGUAAAGAGGAGGAAAGAAAAGAAUGGAAGGAAGGAGAAGAGGAAAGGGAAGGAGUUUGGAGCUCACCUUGGUGUUGGCUACCCGCUUAGUUGCUGGAGAGACAUGCAUGUACCUCGAGGCUGGUAGUGGGUUGAAUAACCAGUUUACACACUUGGAACCAAAUUGACAGAACACAGCUAAGAUGGUGAUGCAGGUACUACCAUGCCUAUGGCUUGUGACUCUCUAUCCUUUGGACCCGAGUAUGGAGUGAGACUGGUGGAUGCCAGAAGCGGAGGAGCAUGACCAAGAUUGUGCUUGCAACCACUAUGCUUACACAGCACCCUGAGGUGUAGAACGUAUUUGUGACUUUUGAUACCAAACUGUACAAUUGGUAUUCUGUUGGACAUAUUAUAUAUAAGUCUUGCAUGCUUGUAAAUUGGAUAAAUCGGUUAUGAAUAUGUAAUAUCACUAGAUGAC
Molecule: long non-coding RNA, 463 nt
Organism: Macadamia integrifolia
Lineage: Eukaryota; Viridiplantae; Streptophyta; Magnoliopsida; Proteales; Proteaceae
Exons: 3
Source: RefSeq, a predicted model, not a curated record